GGAGGAAAGCAGGGGAUCGCAAGACCUUGCACUUUUGGAGCGGCCGAUGUCUGAUUAGCUAGUUGGUGGGGUAAUGGCCUACCAAAGCUUCGAUCAGUAGCUGGUCUGAGAGGACGGCCAGCCACACUGGGACUGAGACACGGCCCAGACUCCUACGGGAGGCAGCAGUGGGGAAUUUUGGACAAUGGGCGCAAGCCUGAUCCAGCCAUGCCGCGUGAGUGAAGAAGGCCUUCGGGUUGUAAAGCUCUUUCAGCCGGGAAGAAAAGGUUGCGACUAAUAAUCGCAAUUCAUGACGGUACCGGAAGAAGAAGCACCGGCUAACUACGUGCCAGCAGCCGCGGUAAUACGUAGGGUGCGGGCGUUAAUCGGAAUUACUGGGCGUAAAGCGUGCGCAGGCGGCUUCCUAAGUCAGAUGUGAAAUCCCCGGGCUUAACCUGGGAACUGCGUUUGAAACUACAAGGCUAG
RNAcentral lists this ribosomal RNA (465 nucleotides) under uncultured bacterium. RNAcentral's name for it is "bacterial SSU rRNA". It matches the Rfam family "Bacterial small subunit ribosomal RNA", at positions 198 to 644 of the family's 1533-position model. The record is from RNAcentral.